Molecule: small RNA, 148 nt
Filed under: Pongo abelii (Sumatran orangutan)
Lineage: Eukaryota; Metazoa; Chordata; Mammalia; Primates; Hominidae
Description: Metazoan signal recognition particle RNA (ENSPPYG00000031754.1)
Source: Rfam by way of RNAcentral
GCCAGGCAUGGCGGCGCAUGCCUGUAAUCCCAGCUACUCGGGAGGCUGAGGCAGGAGAAUCACUUGAACCCAGGAGGCGGAGGUUGCAGUGAGCCAAGAUUAUGCCACUGCACUCCAGCCUGGGUGACAGAGGGACACUCCGUCUCAA